Camellia sinensis is the source of this 548-nucleotide non-coding RNA. NCBI's taxonomy places the organism in Eukaryota, Viridiplantae, Streptophyta, Magnoliopsida, Ericales, Theaceae. The record is from RefSeq and is a predicted model, not a curated record.
CUCUCUCUCAAAAUCUGUCUCUCACUCGACUCUCUCUUUUGAAUCUCUAGUCUCUCUCGCUCGAAUCUCACUGUUUCUCUCGCUCGACAGUGAAGAUUUGAAGAUUUGAUCGGUUCAUAAUUUUCUGUUGAUGAAGAUUUGAAUCAAUCUACUGUUGAUGAAGAUUUCGAUCGAUUCAUAAUCGAGAUUCAUAAUUGAUAAUUUGGUGAGCCAAGAGGUAGUUUUGCAGAUAGAAAAGGAAACUGCAAGCGCUGCAGCAGUUUGUAGCACAGGGAGCUUGUUUCCAGAAUUAGACUCCAUAUCUGUAGCAGCAUCUGUAAUUCAGACGUGCUGUCCUGGAACAAAAGCACCUGAUUUAGAAGAACAUGAUAAAUUCUAUGAGGACUUCAAUAUGGAUGAAGUUGGCUCGAAUAUUGAGAACUAUGAAGAAACAUUUGGUGUAGCUCUUAAUGAUGCAGAACAACUGUUUGGUAAUGAUGGAAUUGGUAGCUUGUUUGGAGUGAAGGACAUGUCCGGUGCUGAUUUGAACCAUUGAGGCACAUAUGCAG